Molecule: unclassified non-coding RNA, 292 nt
Filed under: uncultured Ascomycota
Lineage: Eukaryota; Fungi; Ascomycota
Also listed under: 1 other name
Description: sequence contains ITS2
Rfam family: 5.8S ribosomal RNA (bases 1-52)
Source: RNAcentral
AACGCACAUUGCGCCCGCCAGUAUUCUGGCGGGCAUGCCUGUUCGAGCGUCAUUUCAACCCUCAGGUCCCCCUUUUCGGAGGGGGAGACACCCUGGUGUUGGGGGACGGCAUCCUGGCCCGCUGUCUCACAGUGUGCCACGCCGCCCCCGAAAUGAAUUGGCGGCCUCGUCGCGUGCCACCCCUGCGUAGUAGCACAACCUCGCAACGGGAGCCCGACGCGGCCACUGCCGUAAAACGCCCAACUUUUACCGAGUUGACCUCGAAUCAGGUAGGAAUACCCGCUGAACUUAA